Molecule: RNA transcript, 6353 nt
Organism: Xiphophorus hellerii (green swordtail)
Lineage: Eukaryota; Metazoa; Chordata; Actinopteri; Cyprinodontiformes; Poeciliidae
Gene name: sodium bicarbonate cotransporter 3-like
Exons: 26
Source: RefSeq, a predicted model, not a curated record
AUGGGAGACUUCUGGGCAGACGCGGCCUCUCAGCGCGUGGCCAGAGGACUCUCGGGAAACGAUGAGGAGGCCGUUCUGGACCAGGGCAAGACCAGCACCUCCCUGCACACAAACUUUGAGAAAGAGGAACUGGAGAGCCACAGAGCCGUGUACGUCGGCGUUCACGUCCCGCUGGGCCGGCAGAGCCGCAGGCGGCACCGGCACCGCGGACACCGCCAUCACCGCAGGCGGCGGGACCGGGACGACCACGAGGACGGCCGGGAGUCUCCGGCGUACGACACGCCGUCCCAGAGGGUCCAGUUCCUCCUCGGCACCGAAGACGACGACGAGGAGCACAUCCCCCACGACCUGUUCACCGAGCUGGACGAGCUUGCCUUCAGGGACGGAGAGGUCCAGGUGUGGAAGGAAACGGCCAGGUGGCUGAAGUUCGAGGAAGACGUGGAGGACGGCGGCGAGCGCUGGAGCAAGCCGUACGUCGCCACGCUGUCGCUGCACAGCCUGUUUGAGCUUCGCUCCUGCAUAAUGAACGGCACCGUGCUGCUGGACAUGAGGGCCGGCGCCAUCGACGAGAUCGCAGACAUGGUGAUCGACAGCAUGCUGGCGACCGGCCAGCUGGAGGCGGAGCAGCAGGACAAGGUGAGGGAGGCUCUGCUGAAGCGCCACCAUCAUCAGAACGAGAAGAAGCUGAGCAACCGCAUCCCGCUGGUCCGCUCCUUCGCAGACAUAGGCAAGAAGCAUUCCGACUCAACGCUGCUGGAGCGCAACGGGCUGCUGGCGUCGCCGCAGUCGGCUCCAGGAAACCUGGACAACAAGAUCAGCGAGAGCCGGAUCAGCGCCGGCAGCCGAGAGAACAGCACCGUGGACUUCAGCAAGGUGGACAUGAACUUUAUGAAGAAGAUCCCGCCUGGCGCCGAAGCCUCCAACGUCCUGGUGGGAGAGGUGGACUUCCUGGAGCGGCCCAUCAUCGCCUUUGUCCGCCUGGCGCCGGCCGUGCUGCUGACGGGCCUCACUGAGGUUCCGGUACCGACCAGGUUUCUGUUCCUGCUGCUUGGUCCGUUCGGGAAAGGCCUGCAGUACCAUGAGAUCGGACGCUCCAUCGCCACACUGAUGACCGACGAGGUCUUCCAUGAUGUGGCGUACAAGGCCAAGGACAGGAACGACCUGCUGUCCGGCAUCGACGAAUUCCUGGACCAGGUCACGGUUCUGCCGCCAGGCGAGUGGGACCCCAGCAUCCGGAUCGAACCUCCGAAAAACGUCCCGUCUCAGGAGAAGAGGAAGACGGCGGCGCAGCCUAAUGGCUCCGCCCACUGCUCAGAGGCUGUGAAGGAGACGGAGCAUCACACGGGCCCAGAGCUGCAGCGGACGGGCAGGAUCUUCGGAGGCCUGGUGAACGACGUUCGGAGGAAAGCGCCGUUCUACUGGAGUGACAUCAAAGACGCGCUGAGUCUACAGUGUCUGGCAUCCGUCCUCUUCCUGUACUGCGCCUGCAUGUCGCCUGUCGUCACCUUCGGCGGUCUGCUGGGGGAGGCCACCCAGGGCAGCAUAGGCACCAUGGAGUCUCUGUUCGGGGCGUCCAUGACGGGCGUGGCCUACUCCCUGUUCGCCGGCCAGCCACUCACCAUCCUGGGCAGCACCGGCCCGGUUCUGGUGUUUGAGAAGAUCCUCUUCCAUUUCUGCGAGAAUCACGGUCUGUCCUACCUGUCCCUGCGGACGAGCAUCGGGCUGUGGACGGCCUUCCUGUGCGUCCUGCUGGUUGCCACGGACGCCAGCUCUCUGGUCUGCUACAUCACCCGCUUCACCGAGGAAGCCUUCGCCGCCCUCAUCUGCAUCAUCUUCAUCUACGAGGCUCUGGCCAAGCUGGUCAACAUGGGGAAGAAGUUCCCCGUCAACCUGCACAACCAGCUCAACAACCUCACCUUCUCCACAUGUCGGUGUUCUUCUCCCUCCAACGCCUCGGCCGACGUCCAGCAGAUCUGGAGCAGCAGGAACCUGACAGCAGGAAGCAUCGAGUGGGAGCAGCUGAACGUGACGGCUUGUCGGGACUUGAAGGGACAGUUUAUCGGGUCGGCUUGCAGUGAAAAAGGACCCUUCGUCCCAGACGUCCUCUUCUGGUCCGUCAUCCUCUUCUUCGCCACUUUCUUCCUCUCCUCGUUCCUCAAAAAGUUCAAGACCAAGAGAUACUUCCCCACCAAGGUGCGGUCGACCAUCAGUGACUUUGCCGUCUUCCUGACCAUCAUGGUCAUGGUGCUGCUGGAUUACCUGGUGGGAAUUCCUUCUCCCAAGCUGGAAGUCCCGGAGCGAUUCGAGCCCACCACCAGCGACCGGUCCUGGCUGGUUUCGCCACUCGGCGCCAACCCCUGGUGGACGCUGCUGGCGGCCGCCGUCCCCGCUCUGCUCUGCACCAUCCUGAUCUUCAUGGACCAGCAGAUCACCGCCAUCAUUAUCAACAGGAAGGAGAACAAGCUGAAGAAGGGCUGUGGGUACCACCUGGACCUGCUGGUGGUGGCAGUCAUGCUGGGGGUCUGCUCCAUCCUGGGCCUGCCCUGGUUCGUGGCGGCCACCGUCCUCUCCAUCUCCCACGUCAACAGCCUGAAGGUGGAGUCGGGCUGCGCCGCGCCGGGAGAGCAACCCAAGUUCCUGGGCAUCCGGGAGCAACGAGUGACGGGAUUCAUGAUCUUCAUCCUGAUGGGCUGCUCCGUCUUCAUGACGUCCGCGCUCAAGCUGAUCCCGAUGCCCGUCCUCUAUGGAGUCUUCCUCUACAUGGGAGUGUCGUCACUCAAAGGCAUCCAGCUCUUUGACCGGAUCAAGCUGUUCGGCAUGCCGGCCAAGCACCAGCCGGACCUCAUCUACCUGCGCUAUGUCCCGCUAUGGAAGGUCCACGUCUUCACCGCCGUCCAGCUGUCCUGCCUCAUCAUCCUCUGGGCCAUCAAGGCGUCGGGAGCCGCCGUCAUCUUCCCCAUGAUGGUUCUGGCGCUCGUCUUCAUCCGGAAGCUUCUGGACUUUUGCUUCACCAAGAGAGAGCUGAGCUGGCUGGACGACCUGAUCCCUGAGAGCAAGAAGAAGAAGGACGACGACAAGAAGAAGAAGGAGGAGGACGCCCAGCGGAUGAUGGAGGAAGCGGAGGACGAGCCUCAGAGCAUCCUGAAGUUCCCCAUCAAGUCGCUGAAGGACAGGUCUGACCCGUCUGAAGUCAACAUCUCUGAUGAAAUGGCCAAAAGUGGAAUCUGGAAAUCCGUUUCCAAGAACUCUGAGGGAGGAAAGGCUCUGAAACGCUGCAAGAGUCAGGAGAAACUUCCCAGCAUCCAGAUCAGCAUGGAGAGCGAGGACGGACGGAGGUUUGUGGACGCUGAGACGGCGUUAUGAUCCUCCACCGGGACGGCGAGGUGGGCGGGGCCUGAACGAGGCGGAGGACCAAUCAGCUUCCACCUGGCUGUGCUGCAUUUCUCUGAUGACAUGACUUUUAUUUCCUCAUCGUUUCACACGGACAAUCCUCAGGUUACUAUGUUUUUACUGCCAGACCACCGCUGUGCUCUGAUUGGCCGACGGCCAGCGAACUCAGAGGACGAAUAUUUAUUUCUCCUUCAGUUUCUGCUUCUCCUCCAUGAUCCAACGCGGAACGGACGUUUUAUUUAAUCUAUCAUGCUGAUUUCACUUCAGAGUGUGUGUGUGUGUGUGUGUGGGUGUGUGUGUGUGUGUGUGUCACCAUGUUGCCUGUAGGUUAAACCUCAGCAGAUGUUUUGUAGUUUCUUUGUAAUUUUUUUAAAUAAAUCAGUUGGGAGGAAACAUUUUCCACAUCAUGAGUCACAUGACCAACAGGAAGUGACUCCUGGAGGAAACCAUGAAGAAGACGAAGACAGGAAGUGAUUUCUGGAGGAAACCACGAAGAAGACGAAGACAGGAAGUGAUUUCUGGAGGAAACCACGAAAAAGACGAAGACAGGAAGUGAUUUCUGGAGGAAACCACGAAGAAGACGAAGACAGGAAGUAGUUUGUUUUUUUUUACCUUGGUGGAGUAGAUUUGUGACGUAAACACAGUAGGUGACACACCUGAGUGAAGUUGGCCCCCUCCUUCUUCAAGUCAGACGAAAUUAGUGUCAAACUUUUUUGCUCCGUUUGUGCAGCAAAGAUUUUUGUUUGUGCCGCUAUCAUUCUAAAGAUAUUAAGAAAAAUGAUCUCUAGGGGUCAUCAGAGGUCAACCACUCUCCUGGCCCUACUCACAUUUAAAUUUAUUGAUUUAAUUUAAUUGUUUUUCAUUUGUGCUGCUUUGGCUUUGAAGAUAUUAAUUAAAGUUUAGGGGUCAAAAGGUCAACCAGCCCGCCUUCUUUUAUAAACAGUUUCUGCUAGUUUGUGCACUGAUUUGAAGUCGUGUUGAUGAUGACUGUUGAUCAGGAAAUUGAGCUGGAAACAGCUGAUUAGACAUGUUUUGCUCUAGUCCUAUUGUUCAUAUUUCAACAGUACAGUUUGUCCAACAGCGCCCUCUGGUGAUCAGAAACUGAAAUACAGGUUUAUUUUGGAAGGUUUUGUUCCAGUUCAUUCUAAAUGAGACCAAGCGAAUUUCAUCCACGUUAACAUUAAAUUAUUCAUGUUUGUAGGUUAGCACUUAACAAUUUCAAAUGAAAUUCACAGAUCCAGCAUGAACUGAUGUUCACUGACCUUUGACCUCUAGAAACAUUGUAAUUAAUAUCUUCAAAAUGAAAGCUACACAACUGGAGUCGAGUUAAUUGAUUUCGUCUGAUUUGAAGAAGGUGGGGGGAGGGGGGGCUGGUUGACCUUUGAUGACCUCUAGAAACAUUUUUUUACAUCUUUAAAAUGAUAUAAAACAUUUUGCUGCACAAACGUUUGACACCAAUUUUGUCUGAUUUGAAGGUCUGGAGCCGACUUGCCUCAGGAAACUGAUUUUAUUUCCUGUUUCUGAUGAUUGAGAUCAUUUUAUUUCUGUGUUCAGAAACGGCCAGCAGGUAACGCUCUGGACCGGACCCGACCCGAUCCGACCGGACCCAACCCGGACCUGCCGUGGCCCCUGCCGCCGCUCUGGUGAUGGCGGCGGGUUGCCUGCGUCGCGUCCUGGUGAAGCGGCUGCAGAUUUCUGGUGGGCCGGAGCGGACUCACCUGCGGCCCGCAGCAUGACCUCGGUGACCCCCAGCGACCCGUUGUGCGGCGCCGGCUGGAUGCCCAGCAGCCUGCAGAGCAGCGGGUAGACGUGGAUGCUGUCGAAUGGGUCGGACACAAAGUUCUGCUUGAAGCUCGGUCCGACGGCCCGGAAGAUGGUCUUCAUGUCCAUCUCCCCGUUGUGGAAGCCGUGGUCGCCUUUGUUCACGUAGACGAUGAACCUCUGAGAAACAGAGAGGCAGGGUGACCUUUGACCUCACCUGCUGCUCUGGAACCAGAAACUCCAUUUGAACAAUUUUACACCUAAAAAAAAAACUGAUUUCCUGAUUUUAUCUUUAAUUAAAUGUCAAACGCAACAGAAAGUCCUUAAAAUGAGAUCUGGACCUGAACGACUGAAUUUCUGUUUCUGUUUCUGUGAGGUCAGGAAAUGGACUUCAAAAUAAGAGCAUGAAUGAUUCUUAACAGUUUAAAACCAAAACACAGAUGUUUAACUUUAUUCAACUGAAAGUUUCUAAACCAGUAAAUUAGUGCUUCAGAAUUGAGCUGGAAAAUGAUCUUAGUGGAAGCUAAUUGCGCUAAACGUUUCCAAAGUUAGCUAAAUGGUUUUAGCUAAGCUAAAAUUUAGCAGAAGUUUGACGCUAUGACUGAACCAAAGUUCCAUCUGCGCUUUAAAUACUGAGUGAAUAUUUAUGCAGUCACUCGUUUAAAAGUCCCUCUAGCUUUAAUUAUUUUACUUUGAAUAAAAUAAUCCCUUAACCAGCUAGCUAGUUAAAUCUGUUUCUCAUUAUUUUACUUUGACAGGGUGUCCACACAUUAAGUCUUAAUUUGUGUAAAAGUAAGAAAUUAAAAUGUCUUGAAUUCAUUUAAAAUGUAAAUUAAACACGUUAAUCACCAGUCUUAAAUUUUGUCGUAGCAAUUUUAUUUUUCAACAUUUGAGUCAUUUGCAGACGUUUCAUUGCGUUCUGCGCCUGGAGCGGUUGAGGCUACCGCUAACUACCUGCUAAUAAACCCUUGCUAGCUAGUUAGCUGGCGUUUUGUUUUGUUUCUUUUGUUGUUUUUUCAUAUUUAAUGAGUUAAGUGCAGACUAAUCACCAGUUUGAAGAAGAAAGAUCGUCUCUCCCAUUGGCUCACUUCUGUUCCAGCUCGUUUGAUGCUGCGUUCAUUCUGGGCUGAAAGGAUUGGCACUAUGGACCUUACGGCUAAAUUGCACAUUUUAUUUGUAAUUAAAUACAAAAAUCCACUUUU